UACGAAGGGGGCUAGCGUUGUUCGGAAUUACUGAGCGUAAAGGGCGCGCAGGCGGCUCUUCAAGUCAGAUGUGAAAGCCCCGGGCUCAACCUGGGAACUGCAUUUGUGACUGCAUCGCUGGAGUGCGGCAGAGGGGGAUGGAAUUCCGCGUGUAGCAGUGAAAUGCGUAGAUAUGCGGAGGAACACCGAUGGCGAAGGCAAUCCCCUGGGCCUGCACUGACGCUCAUGCACGAAAGCGUGGGGAGCAAACAGG
RNAcentral lists this ribosomal RNA (253 nucleotides) under uncultured bacterium. Its description in RNAcentral is "partial 16S ribosomal RNA". It matches the Rfam family "Bacterial small subunit ribosomal RNA", at positions 524 to 776 of the family's 1533-position model. The record is from RNAcentral.